Molecule: long non-coding RNA, 1529 nt
Organism: Mugil cephalus (flathead mullet)
Lineage: Eukaryota; Metazoa; Chordata; Actinopteri; Mugiliformes; Mugilidae
Exons: 3
Source: RefSeq, a predicted model, not a curated record
CAGGAGUGAAGCAGCUGUGUGGUUUUCUGGAGAGUCCAGACUGUAGACUGGAGACUCUGAGGUUGAAUUAUUGCAGUUCGUCCGAGAUCAGCUGUGAUUCUCUGGUCUCAGCUCUGAAGUCCAACCCCUCCCAUCUGAAACAUCUGGACCUGAGUAACAACAACCUGAAAGAUUCAGAUGUGAAGCAGCUUCUUGAUCUUGUGGAGAGUCCAGACUAUAAACUGGAGACUCUGUGGUGGGCGUGGUCGUUAUAAGGAGGGCAUGUGUUGUGAGAGGAUGAGCUGUGUCCUGAUGAUCCAGAGGGUGAAGCAGACUCUGACUGGACCAUGUUACUGGGAGGUGGAGAGGAGAGCUUCAUCCACAUGGUCUCCAUUUAAAACCAUCAGCAGAGCUGCACUUCAACUCUUCACAGAGCUCGAACAAAUCAAGUCCAGUCCCUCAUCAAUGAUUCAGACACAUGUCAACCUGCCAGCAUCAACAGUCCUUCCUCAUGUUGUGGAGACAUUUGUUCCAUGUCUUCUCUCUUCUCACAACCUCGUAACCAUCAGCCAUCAAUAAAUUGACCUUUGUGCACCGAUACAACACGUCCAAGGUAGAAGAUACAACAAACUCCUCUAAUUUAAAUUCCAUGUUGAUGAGUGACAGCUAACAGCCACAGCAGAAACCAAACUGUUGACCUAAGCAGCGUUCCACCAACUCCUCACUUCCAAAUCACUGCACAGUUACAGCAACAAACCAUCAAACAAACAACAAUGAGUCCACCAAGGCUACAAAACAACAAAGGUAGCCCCCGGCCCCAGGUCUUCAAAGGACUGGCCUCCAGCCACCAAGCACCCAAAUGAUGCUACGAGCCCGUAGACUGGUUCUCAACAAACUGACCUGACCUGAAAGAAAUACAAUUAUGAACACACCUUGACAACAUCAGUAUGUGAGCAUCAGUAGCAUUAGUAUGUGAACACAUACUCUGCAGAGUUCCAAAAUUUUAGGACUAGGUUCAGGCCUUUGAGGAACCAUCUGAAUAUUCUCAAGUUACAAAUAUAUGUUUCACUAAAAAUAACAACAAUAAUAAUAAUAAUAAUAAUAAUAAUGAUAAUAUUUUUUUUAUUAUUAUUAUCAUGUUUUUGUCUUUUAAGCUGCGUUUAUUUUGUUUUUCUGGACCUUUUUUGUUAACAAGAGAUGGAGAAGUCCCUCUCAUAUAAUUGUGAAGGAGCGUGUCUGUACACAGGACAUUGAACUUUUAGCUUUGGGAAUGCCUCCUUAUUAUUUACCAAGGGAAUUCACCAAUUUCAUCUUUAUCGGAGUCUACAUCCCUCUUUCAGCUGUCAAGAAAACAGCAUGUGAAGCGAUCCAUGCCACUGUUGCUAGGCAGUCCAAACACCCGGAGGCUCUUGUUAUCAUUUCUGGGGAUUUAAAUCAUAACACCUUGGACACUGUUUUGCCAACUUGUCAUCAGUUUGUAAAUUGUGCAACCUGGUAAAAUAGAAAUCUGGAUCUACUGUAUGCUAAUUCAAAAGAUGCAUACAGAUCCA